UCCCUCCUCGUGCCAUGGAGAGGAGCUCCCUCUUCCUCGCCGCCCUUCGGCUCGUCAUCGCUCCGGCCUCGCUCCUCCUCGACGACGUCAUCAUCGCCAAGCUCCUCCGUCCUCCAUCUCCUGCGACCUCGCGUCGUCCUGCAACCCUCUGUCGUGCCUCCGCGCGCCCAACCUCCGUCCCGCGCCCGCAACCAUGCUCUGGAUCGAGAGGAGCUCGAUCCCAAGCGCCUUCAGCCCGUCCGACCUCCUCUGCCUCGCUGGCUUCCAGCAUUGACCGAGCACCUCCAUCCCCAUGGUGCUGCGACCCCAUCACUAUUCCUGCUGGCCAUCGCCGAGUUACCACAGGACCCGUGGAGUCAUGCACGGGAAAACCAAGUCUGAAGACUACCGUGGACGUGUAUCUCGCCCAGUACCACUACCGUUCCUCAAGACCGCCAAGUUCGACUAAAUGAUGACGCGUCAAGUACCUCUACCGCGUCUACGGGAUCGCCAAGAACAAGUACCUACAAGUACCUCGACGACCUACCAAGUACCCCUUCGGAUCGCCAAGUUCAUCUACCACGUGUGCCACUACCGUCGACCUGAACAUCUACGAAAAUGUGUACAACUACCGUUGCCGUGAUUUCGACAAGACGUCAUGUACCUCUAGUUCCACUA
Molecule: long non-coding RNA, 657 nt
Organism: Triticum dicoccoides
Lineage: Eukaryota; Viridiplantae; Streptophyta; Magnoliopsida; Poales; Poaceae
Exons: 2
Source: RefSeq, a predicted model, not a curated record